This 207-nucleotide ribosomal RNA is filed under the name uncultured bacterium. RNAcentral's name for it is "partial 16S ribosomal RNA". It matches the Rfam family "Bacterial small subunit ribosomal RNA", at positions 146 to 353 of the family's 1533-position model. The record is from RNAcentral.
ACUACUGGAAACGGUAGCUAAUACCGCAUAACGUCGCAAGACCAAAGAGGGGGACCUUCGGGCCUCUUGCCAUCGGAUGUGCCCAGAUGGGAUUAGCUAGUAGGUGGGGUAAAGGCUCACCUAGGCGACGAUCCCUAGCUGGUCUGAGAGGAUGACCAGCCACACUGGAACUGAGACACGGUCCAGACUCCUACGGGAGGCAGCAUG